AUGGAGAGCAAUUUAGUGGAUACAACUCCAACGUCAAGGGAGUUUACACUCGACUUCUUACGACAUAUUACGAAUAAUCUUUCUGAGGACCGCAUAAUUGGGAAGGGUGGGUUUGCAGUAGUUUACAAGGGAGUAUUGGACAACGGGGAAGAGAUUGCCCUGAAGAAGCUUACUCACAUAGGGCCUGAAGUCACGAAAUUUGCAGAUGAGUUCAAUAACAUUAUUAGGGCCCAUCAUCAAAAUAUCAUACAGUAUGUUGGCUACUGCUAUCAUCCAGGCAACUGGAUGAAGCUCGAUGAAAAAUAUAUCUUUGCUCAUGAGCCAAUAAGAAUUCUCUGCUUUGAAUAUUUGCAUGGUGGAGACCUUGAGAGGCACCUUUCUGAUGAGCAGCCAUGCGGACUUGAUUGGCAGACAUGUUACAAAAUAAUUAAGGGAGUGUGUUCCGGUUUAAAUUAUCUUCAUAGCGUAAAUAUUUACCAUCUAGACUUAAAGCCAGCAAAUAUACUGCUGGACAACAACAUGAUGCCGAAAAUAGGAGAUUUUGGUAUAUCAAGAAUCUUCCCUUCAGCAAAAACCAUUACCACGGCAACAGGAACAUUGAUAGGGACAAUGGGAUUCAUGCCACCGGAAUAUAUUAACGAAAACAUAAUCUCACAAAAAUAUGAUGUGUUCAGUUUGGGUGCCGUAAUCCUACAAAUAAUGGCAGGACGCCAGAGUUAUCGCGAUUGUGGACGUGAUCCUUCUGAAACAUUCAUUGAGCUUGUAUGUGAAAAAUGGCGAAAAAAGCUACAUCCAACAAUGUCACCACACUCAUGCCAACAAGUUAAUGCAUGCAUUGGAAUAGCUUUAAGAUGUCUCGAGGAUGACCGACAGAAAAGGCCCACCACAAGGGAGAUAGCCACUGAGCUUAAUAGGAUUGAUAUGGGAAACUUAUCACUGACGGAGGAGGUCGUCAAUGAACUUAAUCUGAUUGAUACUGAAUUUUGUUCACUUACAGAUAAGGCUACUAACUUACAAAGCAGGGUGGCAUUGGCCUAUAACCAUUACAAGAACUCAGGUGUAUCCGAUCUUCGCGGCGACUGGCGUGGCCGUUUCCAUCUGCGCCGUGCAGCUCAUCCGCAACAUCACCACCAACCCCGAAGUCAGGGUGACCAAGGAGAACAGGGCGGCGGGGAUCCGUAUGCUAAGUUGCUUGCCCUGGGACAAAGUGAGGUGAUAGAGGUCAACCAUAUACUAAUCCUUGGAUGGAGCAACAAGCUGGGCUCUCUUCUGAAGCAGCUAGCUAUAGCAAAUAAAAGCAUUGGUGGUGGUGUAGUUGUUGUCCUCGCAGAAAGAAACAAGGAAGAGAUGGAGAUGGACAUAGGAAAGCUAGGAUUUGACUUCAUGGGAACAUCUGUAAUAUGUAGAAGCGGCAGUCCUCUAAUCCUAGCAGAUCUAAAGAAGGUUUCUGUUUCCGAAGCACGUGUUAUUAUUGUUUUAGCACCUGAUGAAAAUGCAGACCAAAGUGAUGCACGAGCUUUGCGUCUCGUACUGAGCCUGACUGGAGUAAAAGAGGGCUUAAGGGNNCAUAUUCUUUUGCAGAUAUGGGAGGAUAUUUUGGGAUUUGAAAAUGCAGAAUUUUGUAUAAAAAGAUGGCCAAAAUUGGAUGGCAUGCGGUUUGGCGAUGUGUUAAUCUCAUUCCCUAACGCUGUGCCCUGCGGAGUGAAGCUUGCGUCAGCAUUUGGAAGUAUAUUAAUGAAUCCGGAUGAUGAUUAUGUUUUAAGAGAAGGUGAUGAGAUCCUUGUUAUAGCAGAAGAUGAUGAUACUUAUGCACCUGCUCCUCUACCAGAGCUGCAUAAGGGUUUUCUACCUAACGUUCCCACCCCUCCUAAAUAUCCAGAGAAAAUUUUGUUCUGUGGUUGGCGACGUGACAUUCACCAUAUGAUAAUGGUUCUAGAAGCAUUUCUUGCUCCGGGCUCUGAAUUGUGGAUGUUCAAUGAGGUGCCAGAGAAGGCGAGGGAGGCAAAACUGACUGACAGUGGUAUGGAUAUUCUUGGACUAACAAACAUUAAACUUGUACACAAAGAAGGGAAUGUUGCCAUCAGGCGGCACUUAGAAAGCUUGCCUCUUGAGACCUUUGAUUCUAUUUUAAUUCUUGCAGAUGAGUCGGUGGAGGACUCCGUUGUACAAUCGGAUUCACGGUCCAUAGCUACACUUCUUCUAAUUCGUGACAUUCAGUCCAGACGUCUUCCAUCGUCGAAGGAGUCAAAAUCACCUCUACAUCACAAUAGCUUCUCUCACAGCUCAUGGAUUCAGAAGAUGCAACGUGCAUCGGACAGAUCAAUAAUAAUCAGUGAGAUACUGGACUCAAGAACUAGAAACCUUGUAUCUGUCUCCAAAAUCAGCGAUUACGUCCUGUCAAAUGAACUUGUCAGUAUGGCAUUAGCAAUGGUAGCAGAAGACAAGCAAAUCAACAGAGUUCUCCAGGAACUUUUCGCUGAGGAGGGCAACGAGAUGUGCAUACGGUCUGCUGAGUUUUACCUGUACGAACAAGAGGAGUUAAGUUUCCUGGACAUAAUGGUGAGGGCUCGUGAGAGAGACGAGAUUGUGAUCGGCUACCGGCUUGCAAACACCGAUGAGGCAAUCAUUAAUCCAGAGCAUAAGUCGGAGAUUAAGAAGUGGUCUUUAGACGACAUGUUUGUUGUGAUCGCGAAAGGUGACUGA
RNAcentral lists this ribosomal RNA (2703 nucleotides) under Triticum aestivum (bread wheat). RNAcentral's name for it is "partial small subunit ribosomal RNA". The record is from RNAcentral. Lineage: Eukaryota; Viridiplantae; Streptophyta; Magnoliopsida; Poales; Poaceae.